CCUACGGGUGGCAGCAGUGGGGAAUAUUGGGCAAUGGGCGCAAGCCUGACCCAGCAACGCCGCGUGAAGGAAGAAGGCUUUCGGGUUGUAAACUUCUUUUAAGGGGGAAGAGGAGAAGACGGUACCCCUUGAAUAAGCCACGGCUAACUACGUGCCAGCAGCCGCGGUAAUACGUAGGUGGCAAGCGUUGUCCGGAUUUACUGGGUGUAAAGGGCGUGCAGCCGGGCCGACAAGUCAGAUGUGAAAUCCGCGGGCUUAACCCGCGAACUGCAUUUGAAACUAUAGGUCUUGAGUGCCGGAGAGGUAAUCGGAAUUCCUUGUGUAGCGGUGAAAUGCGUAGAUAUAAGGAAGAACACCAGUGGCGAAGGCGGAUUACUGGACGGUAACUGACGGUGAGGCGCGAAAGCGUGGGGAGCAAACAGGAUUAGAUACCCUUGUAGUC
RNAcentral lists this ribosomal RNA (442 nucleotides) under uncultured bacterium. RNAcentral's name for it is "partial 16S ribosomal RNA". It matches the Rfam family "Bacterial small subunit ribosomal RNA", at positions 338 to 795 of the family's 1533-position model. The record is from RNAcentral.